RNAcentral lists this ribosomal RNA (183 nucleotides) under Bacillus subtilis. RNAcentral's name for it is "partial 16S ribosomal RNA". It matches the Rfam family "Bacterial small subunit ribosomal RNA", at positions 574 to 757 of the family's 1533-position model. The record is from RNAcentral. Lineage: Bacteria; Bacillati; Bacillota; Bacilli; Caryophanales; Bacillaceae.
GGCGGUUUCUUAAGUCUGAUGUGAAAGCCCCGGCUCAACCGGGGAGGGUCAUUGGAAACUGGGGAACUUGAGUGCAGAAGAGGAGAGUGGACUUCCACGUGUAGCGGUGAAAUGCGUAGAGAUGUGGAGGAACACCAGUGGCGAAGGCGACUCUCUGGUCUGUAACUGACGCUGAGGAGCGAA